RNAcentral lists this ribosomal RNA (253 nucleotides) under uncultured bacterium. RNAcentral describes it as "partial 16S ribosomal RNA". It matches the Rfam family "Bacterial small subunit ribosomal RNA", at positions 524 to 776 of the family's 1533-position model. The record is from RNAcentral.
GACGUAGGGCGCGAGCGUUGUCCGGAUUUAUUGGGCGUAAAGAGCUCGUAGGCGGCUUGUUGCGUCGGCUGUGAAAACCCAUGGCUCAACCGUGGGCUUGCAGCCGAUACGGGCAGGCUAGAGUUCGGUAGGGGAGACUGGAAUUCCUGGUGUAGCGGUGAAAUGCGUAGAUAUCGGGAGGAACACCUGUGGCGAAGGCGGCCCCCUGGUUGGAUACUGACGCUGAUACGCGAAAGCGUGGGGAGCAAACAGG